UACGAAGGGGGCUAGCGUUGUUCGGAAUUACUGGGCGUAAAGCGCGCGUAGGCGGUUUUGCAAGCCAGAGGUGAAAUGCCUGAGCUCAACUCAGGAAUGGCCUUUGGGACUGCGAGGCUUUGAGGACUGGAGAGGUGAGUGGAAUUCCCAGUGUAGAGGUGAAAUUCGUAGAUAUUCGCAAGAACACCAGUGGCGAAGGCGGCUCACUGGCCCGAUACUGACGCUGAGGCACGAAAGCGUGGGGAGCAAACAGG
This 254-nucleotide ribosomal RNA is filed under the name uncultured bacterium. Its description in RNAcentral is "partial 16S ribosomal RNA". It matches the Rfam family "Bacterial small subunit ribosomal RNA", at positions 524 to 776 of the family's 1533-position model. The record is from RNAcentral.